Long non-coding RNA from Oncorhynchus tshawytscha (Chinook salmon), 1427 nucleotides. The record is from Ensembl. Lineage: Eukaryota; Metazoa; Chordata; Actinopteri; Salmoniformes; Salmonidae.
GUCGACAGACUAGAACCCCUAUGUAUAACCCCAUACACGGUUGACAGACUAGAACCCCUACGCACACACACACACACGGUCGACAGACUAGAACCCCUACGUACACACACUUUUAAAGGUGUGAUUUGACCUACAACUAAGACAGAUUGAAUGCGCUCAAAUUCAAUACCGUGGUUUCCACUACCACGUUAUAUCUGGGCUAGUCAGUGCUUGAUACCGCCAGAGUUGUUUGAAAUUGAGAAACUCAACAUGCAAUUACUUUACGCAAAUACCUUGUUGACAAAUUUGCAACUCCCUUUGACGAUGGUGUGAAAUUGUCAUGGGCGUUACAAUUUCAUGUUGUGGAGUCGCUCAGUUUUAAACGGCGAUAGAGUGGUACUGGACACCAUAUUGGCAAUAUUAGCAAAAUGCUAAUUUCAAAAAACAGUACCCUAAUGCAGGGGUAUUAAAAUCUGAGCCUGGAGGUCCAGCGUAGUGCUGCUCUAUCGGUUGACUAGAUGGGAUGCAGCGAUUGUCAGAAGGGACUUUUCCUUGCAGGUUAGCAGAAUUUACGCAGCAGGUUAUAAAAAUGGAAGUAGCAGGUUAGGAGAAUUAGGUUAGGGUUAGCUAAAAUGCAAAAAUUCCCCCAACGCCACUCGAACAUACUUUUGAUCUCACUUUGACAUUAGCUGCAACUGUUCUAGCCAUGGGGAAACGCUUAUCACGGCACUUUGAUACCGAAGUGACUUUUUCGUAGCAGGUUAGGAGACUGAGGUUAAUAAGGUUAGCGAAAAUGCUUUCCUAACCUGCUACAAAAAUAACUUUGUAUCAAAGUGUUGUGAAAAGACUGUCUCUGUAGCCAUGACCUGUUCUACUUGGGAAAUGAAUUGCACCCACAUGGUGUCCCAUGUCUAAAUCAAUGCCCGAUUAGAGGGAAAUAAUGAAAAACAGCAGUGGAACUGGCUUCAAGGUCCAGAUUUGAAUUUGCCUGCAGCUAGUGAAGUGGGUUGUUAUGAUCGACAGGACCUAAAGACCUAUACAUUCCCUAUUAAUUCUGAUAUUUAUUCACCUACGUUAUAUGCUUCAUUACACAUCAUGUUAGUUUAACUAGUUACAUGAAUAAACCAAGACUGAGACCUAUUAUUUGUUUUACAAUGAUAUGCAGACAUUAUUUUUUGAUGUUUAAGCUUUAACUUAUUUGUUUUUAAUUGUGACAAUGCAUUGUUGUUUUUCUGGUCCAAUGUCUCUUAUUUGUGCAUGUUUAUCAAACUAGCUCACCCUGUAGAAAAUGUUCUGUCCAAAGGGACAUUUUGUUAGUUUUAUACCUGUUCAUAUUAUGGAUAAAAUAAACUAGCUUGAUUUGACUUCCAUGGUGUAUUUUUGUUUAAGGGGUAGUAGUAUGCAUUCACAAAGCAUGCAGCUUCUUCUUCUGAGGAAUAAAGAUGGCA